RNAcentral lists this ribosomal RNA (234 nucleotides) under uncultured bacterium. RNAcentral's name for it is "partial 16S ribosomal RNA". It matches the Rfam family "Bacterial small subunit ribosomal RNA", at positions 1267 to 1500 of the family's 1533-position model. The record is from RNAcentral.
GCGGAUCUCUUAAAGCUGUUCUCAGUUCGGACUGCAGUCUGCAACUCGACNGNACGAAGCUGGAAUCGCUAGUAAUCGCGGAUCAGCACGCCGCGGUGAAUACGUUCCCGGGCCUUGUACACACCGCCCGUCACGCCAUGGGAGCUGGUAAUACCCAAAGUCGGUACACCAACCGCAAGGAGGAAGCCGCCUAAGGUAGGAUCAGUGACUGGGGUGAAGUCGUAACAAGGUAGC